RNAcentral lists this ribosomal RNA (164 nucleotides) under Croton jutiapensis. Its description in RNAcentral is "5.8S ribosomal RNA". It matches the Rfam family "5.8S ribosomal RNA". From Rfam's summary of the family: 5.8S ribosomal RNA (5.8S rRNA) is a component of the large subunit of the eukaryotic ribosome. It is transcribed by RNA polymerase I as part of the 45S precursor that also contains 18S and 28S rRNA. The record is from RNAcentral. Lineage: Eukaryota; Viridiplantae; Streptophyta; Magnoliopsida; Malpighiales; Euphorbiaceae.
CGACUCUCGGCAACGGAUAUCUCGGCUCUCGCAUCGAUGAGAACGCAGCGAAAUGCGAUACUUGGUGUGAAUUGCAGAAUCCCGUGAACCAUCGAGUUUUUGAACGCAAGUUGCGCCCAAAGCCUUUCGGCAGAGGGCACGUCUGCCUGGGUGUCACGCAACAU